GACGAACGCUGGCGGCGUGCUUAACACAUGCAAGUCGAACGGAAAGGCCCUGCUUUUGUGGGGUGCUCGAGUGGCGAACGGGUGAGUAACACGUAAGUAACCUGCCCUUGACUUUGGGAUAACUUCAGGAAACUGGGGCUAAUACCGGAUAGGAGCUCCUGCUGCAUGGUGGGGGUUGGAAAGUUUCGGCGGUUGGGGAUGGACUCGCGGCUUAUCAGCUUGUUGGUGGGGUAGUGGCUUACCAAGGCUUUGACGGGUAGCCGGCCUGAGAGGGUGACCGGCCACAUUGGGACUGAGAUACGGCACAGACUCCUACGGGAGGCAGCAGUGGGGAAUAUUGCACAAUGGGCGGAAGCCUGAUGCAGCAACGCCGCGUGCGGGAUGACGGCCUUCGGGUUGUAAACCGCUUUCGCCUGUGACGAAGCGUGAGUGACGGUAAUGGGUAAAGAAGCACCGGCUAACUACGUG
RNAcentral lists this ribosomal RNA (468 nucleotides) under uncultured bacterium. RNAcentral's name for it is "partial 16S ribosomal RNA". It matches the Rfam family "Bacterial small subunit ribosomal RNA", at positions 28 to 507 of the family's 1533-position model. The record is from RNAcentral.